Molecule: long non-coding RNA, 14576 nt
Filed under: Citrus x clementina
Lineage: Eukaryota; Viridiplantae; Streptophyta; Magnoliopsida; Sapindales; Rutaceae
Description: Citrus clementina (C. clementina) long non-coding RNA (CCLE_LNC002393)
Source: RNAcentral
UCAGACUUGGGGGAAAUUGGUAUUCAGACAGGACCAUCCGUGAGGGCUUGCUCUCAUUCACCAGCUUCAAGCAUUCAAGUUUGUGGAGUUCGCAAAGGCUUUUGGAAACCCCAGAUUGAUAGUAACUCAAAUCUCCAGAUAUCCGAAGAGUCUGAACACUAGGUAGUCUGCCCAAUAUAUCAGGAGUACAACUACUAGGGUUUAAAGCUGAUAUGAAAAUGAGAUUUUUCAGAGAGCUAGAAUAAUUUUUUGGAGGUGCGGGCAGAGUGAUAGAACCAAAGUUUAGAUGCAUGAGUUUUUGCAUCAUCCAAAUAUCCUCUGGUGACUGAUCUAUGUAGCUAGAUGGCAUUUCUAGUGUUUCAAGGUUUAAAAGGGUGCAUAGCAGUGAAGGAAGGCAUUUGAGCGAAGGGAUAUUCAAUUUCAAAUACUUCAAAAGAUAUAAAUUUUCUAAUCCGGGUGGAUAUUGGUCCAGGACUGCAGAACCCAUGUUCAAUACCCGAAGGUGUUUGAACUUUUUACAAAAAUUCUCGCAAUCUAUCAGAGCGAGAUGAUCGCUUGCCGAACUGUGAUUCAGAAAAGAUUGGAGAUACAUGUCAGAAUGUUCUAAAGAUAAAAACCCAGUCAGAUCUUCGGCAAUGACGCACCGUUUAACAUUUGCCACUCGCUCCUCUUCCCUGUCAUGCACCAAGACAAAUCCGGCCUUCUCUGCCACAAAAUACAAUGAAGUAUAUACAAAACUUGGAACAUAACACGCUUUAAUUGUGGCUCCGGCGCUUCUCUUACUCACUUGAAUGAAGCCGCGAUGGAUUAGUUCUUUCAAGUAAUGUUCGGCAGUUUCUUCACCGUUGUAUGGUAUGAAACCUUCAGCUACCCACAACUGAUAUAAUUGCUCCGUAGAUAUCUCAAUACUUGGAAGGAAGACACACAAAUAGAUGAAGCAGACUUUCAAGUAAAAAGGUAACUCCAUCACAGAAAAAAUUUGUCUCCAAACUGUCGGAAUCGCUUCGCCUUGAAGAUAAUUUUCUAAUGGCAUACUUCCAUAGUGUAGGAUGAAAAAUUGCCACGCUUCAUGCUUUAAUCUGAUCAAUGGUCCUCCAAAGAGCACUGAAUCACGCCGAAUCUUCUCUCCGUUUUCCAUUUCCAACGACGCAAGGAGCUGUGGAUCACUGACCAACAUCAAUACUCUGCUUCCAUUCUGAUUAUCAGGAAGAACUUCUUCAAGAUCACUCCAUAUCUCACUGUCAUCGAAGACAUCAUCAAGCACAAUAAAGUACUUCCUGUUUGUUAGGUAAUCUCGAAGAAUAGAUUUCUUCAAUUGAUAAUCUUCCCCGAUAAUUACACUAACCCGAGAUGGAGGCAUCACCGACUUGAUUAUGUCAUCCAAUAUCUUGCCAAAAACGUAGGUUAUAGAAACCCUGACCCAAGCAAGACAGUCAAAAUAGAACUUGACGUGGUUAUUAUUGUAAGUAUCUGCAGCAAAAACAGUCUUGUCGAAGCCACUGCUGUCGAGAAUUGCAACCACUGCAAGCCCAGAUGGUCCCUCAAUCAAUAGAUCAAACAACUCCUCCCUGCCCCUUUCAAAUUCAUUGAUAUCAAGCCGAGGUUGUCCCUCACUCAAUAGGCGAAUGAUUUCGUUACUUUUUUCACUGAUAUCAAAACCAUUGUCGCCGGGUGGAAGUUGUUGCAUCCGAUUUCUAAUAUCAAUGAUUUUAGUGUGGAGUCCAACAAGAAGAGCCAUAAUGAUGUUGAUGAUUUCGUUACUUUCACUUUCGUUUUCACUGUUUUGCUGCUGCAUGAUGUUGAUGAAGAAUGUGUCAAUGACUUCCUCAGAGUCACGGACAAAGUUAUUGAUGUCCUUCAGAAUUUCAAAAAUAUCUGCUGUUUCAACGUCUUCUUCAUCGCUUUCUUCUAAGUCCAACAGUUGCAAAAAAGGCAAAGAUAUUUUGGAGUCAUCGAAUUCUUCUCUAAUGAGUUGAAACAAAUGCCGAGCCAUGUCAGCUUCAUAAUUUCCCAGCAGAGUAGUAGCAAUAAUUUCGGACUCCGUAAGAAGGUUUUGAAAAAGUGGAGUUAAAUUUGUUGAAUCUGGCAGCGGCAACGUGCCUUCUUCACCUGCUAACACCCUUUUCAACCUCUCACAAAACAGUCGGAGGUGGAAUUCCAGCAUAUCUCCUUCUCUCUGUAGCAGCCAGAGGUAUUGUUUUUUGCUCCAAGAAAUAUUAAAAGGAUUGGUUCUAUCCUCAAGUGGUUACUGGUGUAAAAUUAAACGCCAUGGGAGAAUUUGAAAGGAAGAUGCCAAGGAACUGGCGAAGUGGCUAAAUUCCACAAAUACGGCAUUAUUGCUCAUUUUUAACUCAAAAAAUUGAUACGCGUUCAUUUAGAGAAAAGUCCAAGACGCGUGCUUUUUGAAAAGAACAGGUAUCCCAAUCGGUAUCCAACCUUUAUCUUAUUUAAUUACUACCAUGACAUAAUUGAUGGUGCUUAAAUCAAUUGUUUCUUUUUUAAUUUAAAGAAUUUUUCAUUAAAAAAUAUUUUAAUAUCAAAUUGCCUUCAGUGGCGUAACAACUGCCUCAAGCCCAGUAACAGGACUAAUUAAAAAUUUUACAAUUUUGGGGCAUGGAAAUAGUAGUAUUAAACAUUAGAAAGGUGAGGUUGUUCUGUUAAAGAAUUGAUAUUGACAUAAUUUUAUUUUGGUUUUCGUGGAAAAAAAAAAUUUGUUGACAAACAAGAAAAUAUUUUUAUAUUUUAAAAUUUAUUAUGCAUAUUUUAUCAUAUUAAAGUAGUUUUAAUAGUAAAUAGAAACAUAAUAUUACGAUAAAUAAAUUAAAAUUUAACUUAUUUUGAAUAUUAUAAAAAAUAAUUUUAAUAUUAUUAAUAGGAAGACAUUGUAUUAAUUUAAAAAUUUUUUAACCCAAAGGUUUAUUUAAAAUCUUUAUUAUAAAUACAAAUAUAAAAUUAAAUAUCAUAAUUUAAAAUUUUUAAUAUUAUUUUAAGUAUGAAAAAUAUUUUAAUAUUAUUAGUCUAGAUCAUAUUACUUAUAUAAUAUUUGUAUUAUUAAAAAUGCUUUAAAAAAGACCUUGUUGUUACUUUUUAAAAAAUUGAGGGCCUGCUUGAUAAUUUUUUCAAAAAGAAAAUGCUUGGUAUAUAGGAGGGGUAGAGAAACAGGACUCCCAAAAUCUCUCACCCUUUUGUAAUUUAAAAAGAAUUAAAAUAUCAAUAAAAAAUAAUAAAGAAAAUAGAAUUUUAUCUGCUCCUUACUCCAUUUUUGCAACUCUCUCACCAUCUCUGUCGAGCAGCCCUCUCUCUCAUUGUCUCUCACUAUUUCAGGAUCUCUCUCUCACUCACACAAUCCUUUCCACGAUUUGAAAUUCUUUGGCCUUCUGCAACUCUUACAAGAAAUUAACGCUUUGGUUCUCCCAAGGGUAGAUUGGUUUUAUUGGGAAGCUAUUAAUUAGAAGGAGGAAAAAGGACUAUAUUUAGAAUAUGAUUUGUUGGAGAAUCUCAAAGUUAAUCAAUUUUCAAGCCACACUUUCAAUAGCCAAUUGAUUUAGUAACCAUUAAUUACUUUAAUUUCCAUAAAUUGUAAUGACAGUGCAAAUGCAUCUGGUUGUGAUAGCUAAGGGUUAGCUUGAAGAAUUAAAUUUCAUAAGAUAUUACUGGAAAAUGCUUUGCAGCUAACGUGCUGCUUCCUUUGCUAGACUACAAUUUCAAAAUUCUCACGAGUUUUCCAUUGUUGUCACAAACCGAGAAAUUAUAAAAUACAUGGCCUGGUUCUUUGGCAAUGACCAUCUCAUCGUCGGCGGUCGUGUCGUCAUUGUCACUGGUCUUGCUCGACCGAGACAGUGAGAGAGAGGUUUGUUAGAUGGAGUUAGUGAGAGAGAGUUGUAAAGAUGGAAUGAUGAUAAAGGAUUCUAUUUUUUUUAUUGUUUUUUAUUAAUAUUUCAACAGGUCUUAGUAUAUAUAUAUAUGAUUGUAAAUAUCAGUUAUACUCAUGUAAUAUGAGUUGUAAUUUGAGCAAUAGUCUCAUGUUAUCAAAAAAAAAAAAUCAAAAAGCAAAGGUUGUUAUGUCGAAGAAUUGAUGUCAACAAAAUUUUAUUUUAGUUUUCGGAAAAAACAAAACAAAAAUAAAAUUUUUGUUGACAAGCAAGAAAAUGUUUUUUAUACUUUACAAUCUGCUAUACAUAUUUUAUCAUAUUAAAGUAAUUUUAAUAAUAUAUGGAAACAUAAUAUUAUAAUAAAUAAAUUAAAAUUACUUUGAAUUAUUGAAUAUUACAAAAAGAUAAUUUUAAUAUUAUUAAUAGGAAAACAUAUUUUAUUUGUAAAAUCUUUUUAAUACACAAAUUCAUUUAAAAUCUUUAUAAUAAAUACAAAUAUAAAUUAAAAAAUAUCAUAAUUUAAAUUUUUUAAUAGUAUUUAAAUAUUAAAAAUACUUUAAUAUUAUUAAUCUACUACAUCAAAUAUAUUAUUUAUAUUAUAUUCGUAUUGAUUAAAACGUUUUAAAGUCAAAUUUUUAAUUAGUGUAUUCAAAGGUACAAAAGAUUUUAGUAUUAUUUUUUAAAAAUUUCAGGAUAUGAAUGAUAAUUUUUUCAAAUUUUAAAGAUGUAAAAAUCUUUUUUUCUGAUAAUUUAUUUCACUUUUGAGAGAAUCCGAAAACGUUAAUUUAACAUUCUUUACCUUUGUGAAAAAAGUGAAAAUCAAGAACUAUUCAAUUUUGUUUUUAUUUGUAAUUCAAAAACUUUAUUCAUUUUCGAUGCUUUUCAAAAGAGAUUCCUUUAAAUCCUUUUGAUGUCUGCAGCUCCUGCUAUUCUCAUAAAUCUCCAUCCCACAUCUACACUAUCAAACUAGUUGAUGGAAAUUCUUAUAAAAAAAAAAAAAAAGUCGAUGGAAAUUGAUCAAUUGCUUUUUGAAAUGGACCCAUUGAGUCAUGUUCAUUUCUGGUCAUAUAAAUUUCUUUACCUUACAGUUUAUACGGUCUUGCUGUUAAUGAAUUCGCUGAGGCAUUAUUGAUCCAAUCUGAGUGAAGUAAUUGUGGGUGAAAAAUAAAUAAAGGAUAGCAGAACGUAGCUGAAGUGCUGAAGGGGCUAUUAAAGAAGAGUGUCACUCGAUCACAAUCACAUUGAUGCACAACUCACUCGUGGCAAAUUCCGACUAUACGUACUGCAAAUUCAGCCAAACCAUACAUGCAUGAACAAAACAUCUUCUCUAAACUAAAAAGCCCACAUCUCUAAAAUCAAUCUACAUAAUGUUGGAGAUGAGGGGUGAAUUGUUAACUCAGUAAAAAAAAAAAAACUCAUGCAUAAGAUUACUAAUAAUAUAAAUUAUAUAUUAAUCAUUAUGAAGAAUCAUAAAUUAGAAAAAUUAAUCAUUUUAUAAUUUAUUACACAAGUAAGAUAAAUCUUAUAAUAAGUUAUAACAUAAAAAAACGUUAUCAAUAAAUAAUCAUUUAAGAAGUCAUUUAACAAUAAAAUCGUUCUUUGAUCAGUUGGUCAUGUCACAUAGUAUCAUCUAUAUUUAUGGUGAUAAUAUUAUUACUUGGUAUUAUCAAAAAACAUGAUUUAACAUUUUAGAGGAAAUUCUUGCCUUUUAAAAAAAACAUGUAUGCAACAGCUACCCAUGCUUGAUCUUACAAAUGAACAAAUAAUUUUUCUCAAUGAAAAGAAUUUUUUUUUUAAAUUGAUUUAAUUGCACCAAUUAUGAUGAUUUUUUGCCAAAAAAUUAUUUUUUGGAAAACAUAGUGAGAGAAAAUUAGUGACGAUUAUUUGUUUAGAUUGUAUAAAUAGCUCAAACAUAAUCCCUUAAUAACCNNNNNNNNNNNNNNNNNNNNNNNNNNNNNNNNNNNNNNNNNNNNNNNNNNNNNNNNNNNNNNNNNNNNNNNNNNNNNNNNNNNNNNNNNNNNNNNNNNNNAGGGAGAUCGUCGGGGACAAUCUGAACGGCCGACGCCGAUGAAAUGGAAGGGUUUACCAGAGGAGUGGAUGCGAAGAGUGCAGGGACGGCCGCAGAGAGAGAGCGGCGGAGAGCGGCGACGGACGGUAGUCGGUAUGGGCCAUUGCUUGCGCGUCGGUAAUUGUCUCGAGUGAGAGAGUGAAGGGUUUUGUUUAGGGUUUUGGGAAAUGAAAAAUGCAAAUGUUUGAUUUUGUUGCUAGAAACUUCUUCUGCCGCUGCCUUUUAUUUUCGCUAUAAUAAUAUUAAUAAUUUGUUAAUAAAAUAUUUUCUUAAAAAAGAUAAAUUUCUACGACAAAAUUUAUAUUAAAUCAAAUUGUAAAAAUGUCUAUUAGGGUUAAUUUCUCCUUAAUAUUAUUAUUAGUAGAAGUAGAUUUUCGAAUUAGUCUUGAUAUAUUUCAGAGUUGUAUUAUAAAUGUAUAUGUAUCUGGAUUGCAAUUGUAUUUUUAAAAAAUAUAAUUUUUUUAAUUAUUGCACAAUAAAUGUAGAAAGUGUCUAUAAAAUAAUAUUAUUAGAACUAUGAAAAGAUAUUAUUUUAGAGUAGUUAUUUAUUUAUUUUUGAAUAAAUAAUUUAUUAAUUUAUUGAUAAAUUAAUAUUUAUUAAUUUAAAGAGAGAUUUUUUUUUUGUGGGUUUUAAGAAGAGUUUUGUUGGUAUAUGUAUAAACUUAUAAAGAAAUACAAAAAAUGCUUCCUCAAGUCAAUAAUAUUUACUUUAAUUCAUAAUAAUAUAGUUUAAUCAAGAAACUUGUAAUUAUACUAUAUCUUUCUUUCUUUGUUCAGUUUGGUGGGACAUUGUGAUAAAUCAUUGGAUUAAAAUGCAUUUGUAAAUGAAAACUUGUUAAAACCUAAUUUAUUUGGGAAAAACAUAUUAUUUACUCUUUUUUUUUCCCGCUCUCUGACAAUUGAGGUAUGGGUCAAGCUUGAAAGUAUCUUAAAAUCAGACAACAAUUUAACGAUUUUUUGUUUUUAGAUAACUGCUGGUAUGCUCUACAAUGAUAAGUGAUAACCUAGGUGUUUGCAUUAAUUAUGAUUCAACAAUUUAAAAAAUGAAAACAUAUGGAAGACGGCCGCAAUUAAAUUUAUUGUAUGAAAAUAUUUCAAUGAAAUUUUAAAAAUUUAGUACUUGUUAUCUUAUCGAGAGUUUUUAAUUAUAUUACUACUUGAACUUGACUGCUUUUGUAUUGAAUUCCUAGCGUUGCCAUUGCUUCUACUCAAAAGCCAUUUAAGUUUGUGUAAGCUACCUGUAGUUUGAACAACAAUUUUCUAGAUGAAUUUUUUCCUACAUGCUUGUUCUCGUAUGACCCAAAAUCCUGCUACAUCAGUUGUAUUAGAAAUUAAUCAACUGGGUUACAAUUAUGCAUCCCCACCAAUAUUCAAGCAAUCUACAGAAACAUUUCUUGAGGAAAGAAACUCAUAUCGCCACUAGGCUUUUAAUGAGGCUCAUUUUUAUGAAUCUGGAUGGCAUUAGAUAUCUCUCCGAAUAUUGGUGGGAGUAUAUCGCUGAUCUCUGGGCUAUACUACAAAGUGUAUGUACGUUGACUCUCAAUAAAUACAAACGAUUCUCUGAUCUGAUUCAAAACAUCAGUACAUGCAUCAUUUUAAUGAGAAAGAAUAUUCUAAGAACGAAAUUGAAGGUGCAAUCAGCAGCUAAAAUGAAGCCAGAAAUGUACACGCAUGAGGAACUUUUCCUAGAAGAUUGAUAUUUCUUUAACUAGCAAACCAUAUAAGUCCAAAGCUAACCAAACCAUACCUGCAAGUCCGGGGCUUAAAUGGAGUACUUGUAAGCAUAAAACAUUAAUCAAAACACAGUAUAGACACACACACACACCCCUACAUACAUACCAGCAAAUUCGGAAUAGAAAAAGGAGUGCAACUAUUCAAGUUUGCAGACAAUAUUGCAACCAUGGCAUAUUAAAGCAAAUCCUUGAAAUCAGCUAAACAAAACAAUGCCCUGUCUCAUGAAUCGAUGCUCAAUUAAAAUUGCAAUUGAAAGUCCGGCUGGUGUUGUUUCCCUCCCCAGUUUUGCCUACAUAAGUAAACGGAAAUAAGAAUCAUAAAUGAAAAUCUACUUUGACAGUUCUUAUUAGAUAGAUAUAAAAAGAUCUUUCUUUGUUUCUCUGCUGUAAUUUGUAGACAUGUUCCUAUUGUGCAUAAUUUACAUUAUAGGCAAAUAUUCUUAUACCAUCAUAGGCAAAACAUGACACUAACAAUUGAAGGUUUUAUGACCUCCUUGAAGGUUUUACGAUAAACAUAAAUCUACUGAGAAAGUGGGAAAAAAAAGAAAAUGCAUAUAAAAAUAUGAGUUAUCAGAUAAGAUUGAAACUCACCCAAUUCAAUCCAUCAGAUUCCGCAAGGAUAUAACUGGAUGUCAUACCGCCACUCCAUAUCCUCGAAAGUCCGUAGUCCUUGUCUCAACUGUGUCUGGGGCCAGUGUAAGUCCAAUUUGCGCAAGCUCUUUAUGCACCACAGCUCUUCUGGAAGCUUUCUCAAGUAAGCACAUGGGUUGACAAUUAAGCUUUCAAGUUUCGGCAUUGCUCCAGCCCCCAUCGUCCACUCAUCUAGCCAAUACAUUGAUUUCAGGUGCAAAACCUUAAGUUCGGGAAAGCUACUCAAGCCAACACAAGCAAGCUUUCUUCCUAAAUACGAGUUCUGCUUCAGUUUCAGCACUCGAAGGAGUGGAAGAUUUUCCAGAAUUGGCAUGGGAUCCUGUUGUGAAUUUGGCUUUGUUACGACUAACCAAAUUCUCCCCAAGACACUAAUUUUGUAUCAAAUGGUUUGAGAAUUAACAGCACAGAUUAUGCAGUAACAAAUCACACGCAAGAACCAAAGCAUUAAAGAAACAAAGUGACACCAAGUAUAAGUGGUUCAGCACCAAGAUGUGGUGCCUACAUCCACUGGAAACAAAGCAACAGUCUUUCACUAUUUAGUUCACAAAACAAUACAAUAAUAGGAAUUUAUUUACAGAGAACAAGAACUUGUAAACCCCUUUCUCUCUCUAUCUUCUCUCUACUCUCUGUGUUUCCCAAUUCAUGUGUAGACGAUGACAGAGCCUGCACUUUUAACCUCUGUUUCUGGGUUGUUACAUUAACUACCCUUCCCGCCAAAACUAACCAAGAAGCUCCUCUCUCACGUGCUUGUCACAAGUUGGCAUAAGUGAGCUUGAAACGGCAAUCACAGAUGUCGUUCUUGAGCUAACGAGAUUUCAGCUUCACUACACGUGCAAACCACGUGUAUUACUUAAAGGUUGAAUGACCAAAGAGAGGAUGUCGGUUUUACUCUGAAGAACUCCUCAAGCGACAAGUCGGCUGAGACUAACUCCUCUAAACGACUUGUAGCACUUGAGUUUCGAGUUCACUGUUUAUCAAUCUCCACCUUGAACUCAGAACUCUAGCUACUCAUGUUUACUUCAUUCUCUUCCAUUUGCAGCUAAUCAGAAGCUGCAAAUCCCUACUAAGCUCAAACAGAAGUUGAGCUUGGCAGAUGGCAUAGCUUUAGUCAACAUAUCAGCUGGAUUUUGAUCAGUGUGAACCUUGAGCAUCUUCACAAUUCCCUUGGAAACUUCAAGUCUAACAAAAUGCAGCUUUACAUCGAUAUGUUUUGUUCUUUCGUGAUGGGUCUGGUUUUUACUCAAAUGUAUUGCACUCUGGCUAUCACAAUAUACUUCAACUGUUUCUUGUUUUGCUCCUAACUCAGAGACCAUUCCUUUUAACCAGAUGGCUUCCUUAAAAGCUUCUGCAGCUGCUGUAUAUUCGGCUUCAGUUGUGGACAAAGCUACCACACUUUGCAGUGUAGCUUUCCAAUUCACAGUGCAGCCUCCCAAAGUGAAUAUAAAACCUGUCUGAGACCUCAUUUUAUCAAGAUCUCCAGCGAAAUCUGAGUCAACAUACCCCACCAGCUUGUGCCCUUCCUGUUUUAACCCUCCAUAUAGCAGACCAAACUCCAUAGUGCCUUUCAGGUACCUCAUUAUCCAUUGGACUGCCCUCCAAUGUUCAUAACCUGGAUUUGCCAUGAAUCUACUCACUACACUCACAACAUGUGAGAUAUCAGGUCUAGUGAGAACCAUGGCAUACAUUAGAUUCCCAACUGCACUGGAGUAAGGUAUCCUUGCCAUUUUUCCUUGCUCUGCAUCAGUUUGUGGACACUGUGCAGCAGACAGCUUGAAGUGAUUUGCCAAAGGUGUUUGAACAGACUUAGAUUCAUGCAUCCCAAACCUAAGUAACACCUUUUUAACAUAGCCCUGUUGGGUUAGAAACAUAAGCUUCCUUCUCCUGUCUCUGAUAAUUUCCAUACCUAAGAUCUUCCUUGCAGCUCCAAGAUCUUUCAUAUCGAAUUCACUGCUCAAGAGGUCCUUUAAAUGACUGAUUUCAUUUAUGCUGUGACAUGCUAUAAGCAUGUCAUCCACAUACAGCAUAAGAUAAAUCAUCUUUCCAUCACCAAUGUCCUUAAAGUACACGCAACAAUCAUAAUUGCUUCUCUUAUAGGCAUGUUUUGUCAUGAAACUAUCAAACUUCAAGUACCAUUGCCUAGGAGACUGCUUUAAUCCAUAUAAAGAUUUCUUUAGUAAGCACACAUGAUCUUCCUUGCCAGACACCACAUACCCCUCAGGCUGCUCCAUUACAAUUUCUUCUUGUAAUUCACCAUGCAGAAAGGUUGUUUUAACAUCCAUCUGCUCUAGGUACAAGUCUUGAAUGGCAACUAAAGCUAAGAUGACUCUGAUGGAGGCAUGUUUCACAACUGGAGAGAAGAUUUCAUUGAAAUCAAUCCCCUCUCUUUGUGUGAAACCUCUUGCUACCAGCCUAGCCUUAAACCUACUAGGUUCAGCAUCAAAUAUCCCUUCCUUAAUUUUGAAGAUCCAUUUGCAGCUAACAGUCUUCCUUUUCUCUGGUCUAACUAUCAGUUUCCAAGUUCCAUUUUUCAUUAGUGAUUCAAUUUCCUCAUCCAUAGCCUUCUUCCAUUUCAGCUUAUCCCUGUUGUUUAUAGCUUCUUUAUAGGUUCUUGGCUCUUCUUCAUUUAUCUCUUGUGCAGCUGUUAAUGCAUAAGCUAUCAAAUAUGCUACUGCAUACCUCUUAGGUGGUCUUACAGCUCUCCUCUUUCUAUCCCUGACCAACUGAUAAGAGUUAUUUUCAUUCUCAGCUGGCUCUGACUCCUGAACACCAUCAGAUCCAUCAGCAACCCUUCCUGCAUCUUCUUCAGAUUCUGAUUCAGUCAUAUCUUGCUCAUGGGACUCCACCUGAAACUGAAUACUCCCAGGUUUUAUUUCUGAUCUAUACUCUUUGGAUUCAGUGGCUUUGGAAUUGUUCAAGAUUUCUGACUCAUUGAAAGUUACAUCCCUACUGAUAAUGCAUUUUGGUGGCUUCAGAUCAAUGCACCAUAGCCUAUAGCCUUUAACUCCAUCAGGGUAUCCCAAAAAUCUACACUUUAAGGCUCUUGGCUCCAAUUUGCCUUGUUUGACAUGUGCAUAAGCAACACAGCCAAAGAUUCUUAGUUUAGAGUAAUCAGCAACCCUUCCAGACCAUAGCUCGAUAGGUGUUUUGCAUUCUAUUGCUGUAGAUGGGCUUCUGUUUACCAAGUAGCAUGUUGUGUUUAAGGCCUCUGCCCAGAGUGACUUAGGCAGCUUUGAGUAUAGCAGCAUACACCUCACGUUGUCCAUUAAGGUUCUAUUCAUCCUCUCAGCAAGACCAUUUUGCUGAGGUGUGUGUAUGACUGUUUUGUGCCUCAUAAUCCCAUGUCUUUCACAGAAGUCCCCAAACUCUUUAUUGCAGAAUUCCAUUCCAUUAUCUAUUCUUAGAGCUUUUACUUUCAAACUUGUUUGUGUUUCUACCAGAAUUUUCCAUCUCUUGAACCUUUCCAAAACUUCAUCUUUGGUUUUGAGUACAUACACCCAAACCAUCCUUGAAUAGUCAUCUAUUAGGGAUAAGAAAUACCUACAGCCACCAAGGGAAUCUACCUGUGCAGGUCCCCACAGAUCAGAGUGUAUAUAUGCAAGCCUCUCUUUGGUAGAAUGAACUGCAGAUUCAAACUUGAGCCUGGAAGCCUUCCCUAGAAUACAGUCUUCACAGAACCCCAAAGAACUUAGCUUGUCACUUCCAAACACCCCCUUCUUUUGAAGCUCCUUCAGUCCUCUCUCCCUCAUGUGCCCCAACCUCAAGUGCCAUAGUUUUGCUUUAUCUUCACUCUUCUCAGUGACACUUGCCUCUCCAACAGUUGUAUGUCCAUUAAGCACAUACAAACCAUUUUGCUUGGUACCUUUCAUUAUGACUAUUGAGCCUCUGAUAACUUUUAAUGUCCCAUUUUCAGCCUUAAUGACACAUCCAGUUUGAUCAAGCAUGCCAAUAGAUAUUAGGUUCCUUUUGAGUUCAGGAACAUGCCUAACCUGAGUCAGUUCUCUAACCAUGCCAUCAUACAUCUUAAGGCUUACAGUCCCAAUCCCAACUACUUUACAAACUGAAUUAUUUCCCAUCAGCACCAUACCCCCAUCACAGGACUGAUAUGUAGUAAAGUAAUUUCUAUUUGGACUCAUAUGAAAAGUACAUCCAGAGUCUAGUACCCACUGACCUUGAGUUUUUUCUUUUGUGGCAAUGAGGACUUCAGCUGUCUCAAAACUGGUUUCUUCUGUGGCUAUUGCUGCAUUUCCAGAUUUUUCUUUUGAUUCCUUUUGUUUUGUUUUUCUCUCAGGGCAAUCCCUCUUGAAAUGCCCUUCUUUGUGGCAGUGAAAACACUUCAAGUGUUUUUGCUUUGACUUUGAUCUUCCUUGCUUCUUUCCUUUGUAUUCUCUUUUUUCAGAUCUUCCCCUUGCCAUCAGCCCUUCACUUGAUUCACUCUCUGAGUUAUCUUGUUUGUCUUUUAACUUCUUGGUACCAAGAGCAGAUUUAACCUCUUCCAAGGAGAGUGAUUGCCUUCCAUAUAACAAGGCAUCCACAAAAUGUUCAUACGAUUUUGGUAAAGAACUGAUUAACAGCAAAGCCUUGCUCUCAUCACUCAGUCCUUCAUCAAUUGUUUCCAGUUCAUCACAAACUUUAUUAAACUCAUCUAUGUGUUCAUCAAGUGAUGCUCCUUCAAUCAUCCUCAGUGAGAACAUCUUUUUCUUGAUGUAUAGCCUGUUUGCUAAAGACUUUGUCAUAUACAAUUGUUCCAGUUUUGCCCAGAGCCCAGCAACAGUCUUUUCUUUUGCAACUUCCCUUAUCACUGAGUCACCAAGACUGAGGAUGAUAGUGCUUCUUGCCUUUUUGUCAAUCUCAGCCAUCUGUUCUGGAGUUCUUGAAGAAGAAGCUUCUGCAUUUUCACUCUUGAUGACUGGAUCAAUGGCAUCUCCCAGACCUUGUGUGAUUAACAAUGCUUCCAUCUUGAUCCUCCACAUAUUGAAGUCAUUCUGACCCGUGAACUUCUCAAGAUCCACCUUGUUUGUCAUUUCUUGAACCUUGAUACAGAAAAGAGGGCUCUGAUACCAAUUUGUUGUGAAUUUGGCUUUGUUACGACUAACCAAAUUCUCCCCAAGACACUAAUUUUGUAUCAAAUGGUUUGAGAAUUAACAGCACAGAUUAUCCAGUAACAAAUCACAUGCAAGAACCAAAGCAUUAAAGAAACAAAGUGACACCAAGUAUAAGUGGUUCAGCACCAAGAUGUGGUGCCUACAUCCACUGGAAACAAAGCAACAGUCUUUCACUAUUUAGUUCACAAAACAAUACAAGAAUAAGAAUUGAUUACAGAGAACAAGAACUUGUAAACCCCUUUCUCUCUCUAUCUUCUCUCUACUCUCUGUGUUUCCCAAUUCAUGUGUAGACGAUGACAGAGCCUGCACUUUUAACCUCUGUUUCUGGGUUGUUACAUUAACUACCCUUCCCGCCAAAACUAACCAAGAAGCUCCUCUCUCACGUGCUUGUCACAAGUUGGCAUAAGUGAGCUUGAAACGGCAAUCACAGAUGUCGUUCUUGAGCUAACGAGAUUCCAGCUUCACCACACGUGCAAACCACGUGUAUUACUUAAAGGUUGAAUGACCAAAGAGAGGAUGUCGGUUUUACUCUGAAGAACUCCUCAAGCGACAAGUCGGCUGAGACUAACUCCUCUAAACGACUUGUAGCACUUGAGUUUCGAGUUCACUGUUUAUCAGAUCCUCCAUUAGCUCAGUAUUUGAUAAGCUCAGUUGGAUCAGACUUGGGGGAAAUUGGUAUUCAGACAGGACCAUCCGUGACGGCUUGCUCUCAUUCACCAGCUUCAAGCAUUCAAGUUUGUGGAGUUCGCAAAGGCUUUUGGAAACCCCAGAUUGAUAGUAACUCAAAUCUCCAGAUAUCCGAAGAGUCCGAACACUAGGUAGUCUGAACAAUAUAUCAGGAGUACAACUACUAGGGUUUAAAGCAGAUGUGAAAAUGAGAUUUUUCAGAGAGCUAGAAUAAUUUUUUGGAGGUGCGGGCAAAGUGAUAGAACCAAAGUUUAGAUGCAUGAGUUUUUGCAUCAUCCAAAUAUCCUCUGGUGACUGAUCUAUGUGGCUAGAUGGCAUUUCUAGUGUUUCAAGGUUUAAAAGGGUGCAUAGCAGUGAAGGAAGGCAUUUGAGCGAAGGGAUAUUCAAUUUCAAAUACUUCAAAAGAUAUAAAUUUUCUAAUCCGGGUGGAAAUUGGUCGAGAACUGCAGAACCGAAGUUCAAU